AAUUAAUCAUCAACAUCAUCAUCUUUAUUUGUACAAUGUGGGAUGAUUUCAAUGAUUCGCUACAUCAUAAAAAACACAGGAACACAAAACAAAAUCAACAAAAUACAUAUCAUACAUUUCAGAUAUCAUAAUAUUCUCACAUACCGCAUAUAACUCUUUUAUUUCUUCUAAUUAUUUCCUGUGAGUUUUCCUCUCUGCUUCUAACUUCUAUUCAAAUUAUUUCUUUUGACUAUCUAGCUUCCUCUGACACUCUUCCAACGUUUCUUUUUGCACUUGUCUGGUGCUUUUUCUAGACGUACCAAAAACCACUCUCAGGAUGAUGCCAUCUCCAACCCCACGGACACUCCCACCAUGCUCCUUUAUUCUGAUUGCUUCUACUAAUAUAUCAUAUUAUGGUUUUGGAACAGAGGAACCUUCACGGGCUAAGUUAACCAACGAAUCUUACACAACAUGAUAAAACAUACAUUGUUGAUUAUCAAAGCGAUUUAAAUAACACUUAACAUAUGUACAACAAGUCCUACUUACAAUUUUCUCAACUACUAAUCUUUAGGCAUCUGAAGUGUAGUCUCCAUUUUAUCUUUGUCGAGCCCUCUUCCACUUCUCAUGUCGUGAUGGUGGAGAUAGUUUCUAAUCACGAGUCUUGGAGUCCCCAUCUCCUAGUUAUUGUCUUUUUUCAGCAAUUAUUGUUUUCUCAAGUUUCCUGUAUCUCCCACAAGAUAAUCUAUGGGGGUAUUUAUUUUUAGACUUGACAACUUUC
RNAcentral lists this long non-coding RNA (757 nucleotides) under Lathyrus oleraceus (garden pea). Its description in RNAcentral is "Pisum sativum (pea) long non-coding RNA (PSAT_LNC019698)". The record is from RNAcentral. Lineage: Eukaryota; Viridiplantae; Streptophyta; Magnoliopsida; Fabales; Fabaceae.